This 120-nucleotide ribosomal RNA is filed under the name Lepisosteus oculatus (spotted gar). The record is from RNAcentral. Lineage: Eukaryota; Metazoa; Chordata; Actinopteri; Semionotiformes; Lepisosteidae.
GCCAGCAGCCAUAUCAACUCUGCAACUCACAACUGACAACCCACUGAAGCUAAGCAGGUGUGAGUCUGAUCAGUACCUGGAUGGGAGACAUCCUGGGAAAAACUAAGGUUGCUGCUAGAA